GAUGAACGCUGGCGGCGUGCCUAAUACAUGCAAGUCGAGCGAACAGACGAGGAGCUUGCUCCUCUGACGUUAGCGGCGGACGGGUGAGUAACACGUGGAUAACCUACCUAUAAGACUGGGAUAACUUCGGGAAACCGGAGCUAAUACCGGAUAAUAUAUUGAACCGUAUGGUUCAAUAGUGAAAUACGGUUUUGCUGUCACUUAUAGAUGGAUCCGCGCCGCAUUCGCUAGUUGGUAAGGUAACGGCUUACCAAGGCAACGAUGCGUAGCCGACCUGAGAGAGUGAUCGGCCACACUGGAACUGAGACACGGUCCAGACUCCUACGGGAGGCAGCAGUAGGGAAUCUUCCGCAAUGGGCGAAAGCCUGACGGAGCAACGCCGCGUGAGUGAUGAAGGUCUUCGGAUCGUAAAACUCUGUUAUUAGGGAAGAACAAAUGUGUAAGUAACUAUGCACGUCUUGACGGUACCUAAUCAGAAAGCCACGGCUAACUACGUG
This 497-nucleotide ribosomal RNA is filed under the name uncultured bacterium. RNAcentral describes it as "partial 16S ribosomal RNA". It matches the Rfam family "Bacterial small subunit ribosomal RNA", at positions 28 to 507 of the family's 1533-position model. The record is from RNAcentral.